Molecule: unclassified non-coding RNA, 2070 nt
Filed under: uncultured fungus
Lineage: Eukaryota; Fungi
Description: sequence contains 18S rRNA gene, ITS1, 5.8S rRNA gene, ITS2, 28S rRNA gene
Rfam family: Eukaryotic large subunit ribosomal RNA (bases 954-2070)
Source: RNAcentral
GGAAGGAUCAUUAUCAUGUGCAUCCGCCUUAUUCACUCAUCGCGAAUUGUUUUCAUUUAUUCAUUUUUAUUUUUUCACCUCUUUCACCGUCCUCAUUGCCUCUCUUCUGGUGAUAGGGUUAUAAUUGAUUUUAUCCCUCUAUUACUUGUUGAUCUAUAUAAAUUUAUUUUAUAUCGUAUCUAAAAAACACACCUAACCAAUAACUCCUGUCGAUGGAUGGCUAGGCUCUCGCAACGAUGAAGACCGCAGCGAAGUGCGAUAUCUAAUGCGAAUUGCAAAGCUCAGUGAAUCAUUCAGUUGUUGAACGCAAAUGGCGCUCUCGGGUUUAACCUGGGAGCACGCCUCUCUCAGUAUCGGUUCAUAUAUAACAUCAAUACCAAACAAUCAAUCGAUUGAUUGGGAUUGGACAAUGAGAGUCUGAGAGGAAUGAUUAUUCUUUAUUCAUUCCACUUAGUCUCUUCAAAUACAUGGAACUUCCCUAGUUAGAUUCUUCUCCUCCUAUUGCCACCUCUCACUCAAUCAUAUGAUUGGACUUCUCUCUUUUGAGAAGGAGUAGUCUCGGACCAAUAGGGAAAAAAACAUCCUAAUAGGCCAGAGUCGAUGAGAUUGGAUUGGAUCGAAUUGGAUCGAGUUGGAAGUAAGACGUAAUGAUGGAUCCAUUUGGAUCGUUCUCAGCACGUGUAACUUCUCUCUCCUUUUCUUCUCCCUUUCCUCUAUAUCUCUUCAACUUCUCCUCGUUAGUGUUUCUUUCUUUAUUGUCUAGGUCUACUUAAUCUCCCUUCUAUUGAUCGAAUGUGUUGGUGUGUGAUUGGUGUGAUUGGAAUUUGAUUCAAUUCAAUAACUAUUCGAAGUGUUUGAGGUAUGGUGCCCCCUCACCAUCAACCCUCUAUCGUCUCUCUCUAUUUCUAUAGAUCUAGACGAUUACAUAGGUUGACCCCUUUUUUCUAAACAUUUGAUCUGAGAUGAAGCGAGAUAACCCCCUGAAUUUAAGCAUAUUAAUAAGGGGAGGAAAAGAAAGUAAAAACGAUCCCUCUAGUAACGGCGAGUGAAGCAGGGAGAGCUCACUUUGAUAAUCGAGUCCCCCAACGGGUCCUCGAGUUGUGUGCUAUGGAGUAUGUAUCAGCUAUGACCUGGAUUGAAUUUCACUGGAACGUGAAUGCACAGAGGGUGACACACCCGUAUCUGAUCCAAGUGUUACAUAGCGUACGAUCAUGCUUCUUCGAGUCGAGUUGUUUGGGAUUGCAGCUCUAAAUGGGUCGUAUGCUUGACCUAAAGCUAAAUAAUGGCGAGAGACCGAUAGCGAACAAGUACCGUGAGGGAAAGCUGAAAAGGACCCCGGAAGGGGAGCGAAAAGUACCUGAAAUCGGCUGGAGGGAAGCGAUGGCAACCAGUGAGUUCGUUUAUUUUCAUCGCGUUUCAUACCACUAGUUUCGAGUGUUUGUGUGUAAACCAAACAUUAGGAACGAAAGGGAGGUGAAGCGUUUAGGAAGUAGACGGUGUCAAGAUCCAUUCGGAUGGGGGGAGAAGGGGGAAGGAAAGGUAGGAGAUCCGUCUCUGUUUAGUCCUUUCUCUCUACCUCUAUCUGGAUGGAGGUUAGUAAUAGUGCGCCGCUUGCGGCUUAGUCCCUUGCUUCUUCUGUAUUUUGCUGUUCUGAUCGCAAUGCUAUCUUGAUGGUAAAAUGCAGUACUAGGUAAGGUCGACUCUUUGUGCUAUCACGAUCUUGUACGAAAUGGUUGUCAUCGACCCGUCUUGAAACACGGACCAAGGAGUCUAACAUCUAUGCGAGUGUUUGGGUGAUUCAAACCCGAACGCGUAAUGAAAGUAAAGGUAGACUUGUUCUACUAUGGUAGGAAACCCGCAAGGGUAGCACUAUCGACCGAUCGUCACUUGUGAAAGAUUUGAGUAGGAGCAUAUCUGUUGGGACCCGAAAGAUGGUGAUCUAUGCCUGAACAGGGUGAAGCCACGUGAAAACGUGGUGGAGGCUCGUAGCGAUACUGACGUGCAAAUCGUUCGUCUGAUUUGGGUAUAGGGGCGAAAGACUAAUCGAACCAUCUAGUAGCUGGUUCCCUC